GGAAGUGCUUGCACCUCUGGUGGGGGCCGCGGUCUUCAAAACCGUUGGGCCGUGUGUGAACCAUACGGUCGGUGGGUUCGAUUCCCAUGCACUUCCGCCA
Molecule: transfer RNA, 100 nt
Filed under: Planctomycetaceae bacterium
Lineage: Bacteria; Pseudomonadati; Planctomycetota; Planctomycetia; Planctomycetales; Planctomycetaceae
Also listed under: 2 other names
Description: tRNA-Sec
Rfam family: Selenocysteine transfer RNA
Source: RNAcentral